UGGGGAAUUUUGGACAAUGGGGGAAACCCUGAUCCAGCCAUCCCGCGUGUGCGAUGAAGACCUUCGGGUUGUAAAGCACUUUUGGCAGGAAAGAAACGUCAUGGGUUAAUACCCCGUGAAACUGACGGUACCUGCAGAAUAAGCACCGGCUAACUACGUGCCAGCAGCCGCGGUAAUACGUAGGGUGCAAGCGUUAAUCGGAAUUACUGGGCGUAAAGCGUGCGCAGGCGGUUCGGAAAGAAAGAUGUGAAAUCCCAAAGCUCAACUUUGGAACUGCAUUUUUAACUACCGGGCUAGAGUGUGUCAGAGGGAGGUGGAAUUCCGCGUGUAGCAGUGAAAUGCGUAGAUAUGCGGAGGAACACCGAUGGCGAAGGCAGCCUCCUGGGAUAACACUGACGCUCAUGCACGAAAGCGUGGGGAGCAAACAGG
RNAcentral lists this ribosomal RNA (429 nucleotides) under Acidobacteriota bacterium. Its description in RNAcentral is "Acidobacteria bacterium partial 16S ribosomal RNA". It matches the Rfam family "Bacterial small subunit ribosomal RNA", at positions 355 to 776 of the family's 1533-position model. Lineage: Bacteria; Pseudomonadati; Acidobacteriota. The record is from RNAcentral.